UGCUUCACUGUCACUCGUGUCUUUCUCGUCGUCUUGCAAAAAAGGAAAGAAAACCAGAUGCAGUCAAAAGUCUCGAGGUCACUCUUCAUGCCGACCGGGCUCUCCAACUCGGGCCGGGAUUUCGUGUUACGAUGCAAUGUUUGAGUGCCAAGGAGGCUUACAAGUGCUAAAAGCGAAGCGUGUGCGCAUCAAUCCCACCAAGAAAUGGACCAUAGUAGACGAAAAGGCGCUCAUUGAGUUUUUGAUGGCGAAUGGAGAUUUCGAGAAGCCAACUGAUCAAAACUACUACAGGCGGUUUUCGUUGGAAAUGAAAUUGGAGGUUGAGUGGAAGCUGGCACGAGCGAAAGUACGAAACAUGCGCGACAGCUACAAUAAAGCCGAAGGUUGGGAAGGAUCAACCGGCGCCGGCAGCAUGGAUGGCGACACUUUUCGAACCAUUUUACUUAAAAAGUACACAUUUUUACGAGCUUGGCGACAUUUUUGGCAACAGGCUCGUUGAAGCGGCUGUCAUUGAAGACAGUUUGGACUCCGUAUGUGAAGAUAUUUUCAAUUCAACAGAGCUCCUGUUCGAAGAAACCACAAUGUCGCCAACAAAUAUAUAGGUAAUUGAAAUGCAAGCAGACAUGUUAACUGUGAGGAAGCAGAAAGCUGACCAAGACUUUAGGUUGAGAGAAGAAGAGUUAAGUUAAAAGAAAAAAAUGAAUUAGCAUUGAAGGAAAAAGAAAUGGAAUCAAGAGAAAAGGAGAUGAAGAGUAAUGAAAGGCUAAAAAUUAGAGAGCUGGAAAUGGAGGAGAGACUGGCAAUGGAGGACCUUAACCGAAAAGAUAAAUAAUAAAAAACCACUCACCUACGUACAUACAUACAUAUGUGUGUAGGUACGUACAUAUCGAUGGC
Molecule: unclassified non-coding RNA, 894 nt
Filed under: Rhagoletis pomonella (apple maggot)
Lineage: Eukaryota; Metazoa; Arthropoda; Insecta; Diptera; Tephritidae
Description: uncharacterized LOC118735180, transcript variant X3
Source: RNAcentral